Osmia lignaria (orchard mason bee) is the source of this 533-nucleotide non-coding RNA. NCBI's taxonomy places the organism in Eukaryota, Metazoa, Arthropoda, Insecta, Hymenoptera, Megachilidae. The record is from RefSeq and is a predicted model, not a curated record.
GGAUCAAAAAAAAAUUCAUACCCACACCACGCAGGAUUUGAACCCUGGAUCGUCGAUGUAGAAGCCUGAUACGUUACAACUGCGCCACCGUUACACUUGGUAGUCGCCGCAACUACAAUCUACUUUAAGGAGAACGAGAUCUAUAAGUGUGCAAAGUUUCAACGAAAUCGAUGAGACGAAGGCCUUGCACUCUCCUUGUAAGUGGGCACGGUUUCGCCAAAAGAUGGGUUACCGUGUGCUGUUGGCAACUAAAUAAGCGGAUAGUGAAUAUGAAUAAAAAUGGAUAAAGAGAAAAAGGUAGAUGAAUGGAGAAAAGAAGAAAUGUAAAGAGUAUAAAAGAAGUAAAAAGAGAAUAAUGGAAAAAAAACUAUGGAUGAUUUGAUAUAAUCGUACUAAACUAUGUACGGUGCGGAUUUAGAGAAAAAAUUUAAAAAGGCCGCUGAUGUUCAUUGGGCAAGAGAGGAGGAAAAAACCUCCUGUAGAACGCCAUCUUGGGCUUCGCCCAAGAAAAGUCAAGAACAAAAAAAAAAAAA